UGGGGAAUAUUGCACAAUGGGCGAAAGCCUGAUGCAGCGACGCCGCGUGAAGGAUGAAGGUUUUCGGAUUGUAAACUUCUUUUAUUAAGGACGAAAAAUGACGGUACUUAAUGAAUAAGCUCCGGCUAACUACGUGCCAGCAGCCGCGGUAAUACGUAGGGAGCAAGCGUUGUCCGGAUUUACUGGGUGUAAAGGGUGCGUAGGCGGCUUUGCAAGUCAGAUGUGAAAUCUAUGGGCUCAACCCAUAAACUGCAUUUGAAACUGUAGAGCUUAAGUGAAGUAGAGGCAGGCGGAAUUCCCCGUGUAGCGGUGAAAUGCGUAGAGAUGGGGAGGAACACCAGUGGCGAAGGCGGCCUGCUGGGCUUUAACUGACGCUGAGGCACGAAAGCGUGGGUAGCAAACAGGAUUAGAUACCCUGGUAGUCCACGCUGUAAACGAUGAUUACUAGGUGUGGGGGGUCUGACCCCUUCCGUGCCGGAGUUAACACAAUAAGUAAUCCACCUGGGGAGUACGGCCGCAAGGUUGAAACUCAAAGGAAUUGACGGGGGCCCGCACAAGCAGUGGAGUAUGUGGUUUAAUUCGAAGCAACGCGAAGAACCUUACCAGGUCUUGACAUCCAACUAACGAAGUAGAGAUACAUUAGGUGCCCUUCGGGGAAAGUUGAGACAGGUGGUGCAUGGUUGUCGUCAGCUCGUGUCGUGAGAUGUUGGGUUAAGUCCCGCAACGAGCGCAACCCUUGCUAUUAGUUGCUACGCAAGAGCACUCUAAUAGGACUGCCGUUGACAAAACGGAGGAAGGUGGGGACGACGUCAAAUCAUCAUGCCCCUUAUGACCUGGGCUACACACGUACUACAAUGGAUGUUAACAGAGGGAAGCAAGACAGCGAUGUGGAGCAAACCCCUAAAAACAUUCUCAGUUCAGAUUGCAGGCUGCAACCCGCCUGCAUGAAGAUGGAAUUGCUAGUAAUCGCGGAUCAGCAUGCCGCGGUGAAUACGUUCCC
Molecule: ribosomal RNA, 1000 nt
Filed under: uncultured organism
Description: bacterial SSU rRNA
Rfam family: Bacterial small subunit ribosomal RNA
Source: RNAcentral